Molecule: ribosomal RNA, 158 nt
Filed under: uncultured bacterium
Lineage: Bacteria
Description: partial 16S ribosomal RNA
Source: RNAcentral
CUGCUGCCUUCCGUAGGAGUUUGGACCGUGUCUCAGUUCCAAUGUGGGGGACCUUCCUCUCAGAACCCCUAUCCAUCGUUGUCUUGGUGGGCCGUUACCCCCGCCAACUAACUAAUGGAACGCAUCCCCAUCCAUAACCGAAAUUCUUUAAUAAUCCA